UAGGGAAUCUUCCACAAUGGACGAAAGUCUGAUGGAGCAACGCCGCGUGAGUGAAGAAGGGUUUCGGCUCGUAAAACACUGUUGUAAGAGAAGAAUGACAUUGAGAGUAACUGUUCAAUGUGUGACGGUAUCUUACCAGAAAGGAACGGCUAAAUACGUGCCAA
RNAcentral lists this ribosomal RNA (164 nucleotides) under uncultured bacterium. Its description in RNAcentral is "partial 16S ribosomal RNA". It matches the Rfam family "Bacterial small subunit ribosomal RNA", at positions 355 to 511 of the family's 1533-position model. The record is from RNAcentral.